Molecule: ribosomal RNA, 427 nt
Filed under: uncultured prokaryote
Description: bacterial SSU rRNA
Rfam family: Bacterial small subunit ribosomal RNA
Source: RNAcentral
UCGAGGAUCAUUCGCAAUGGGGGAAACCCUGACGAUGCGACGCUGCGUGGAAGAUGAAGGCCCUCGGGUUGUAAACUCCUGUCAUGAGGGAAGAGGAGAGUGUCACUAACAUUGACGCGAUUUGACGGUACCUCAAGAGGAAGCCACGGCUAACUACGUGCCAGCAGCCGCGGUAAUACGUAGGUGGCAAGCGUUGUCCGGAUUUAUUGGGCGUAAAGCGAGCGCAGGCGGAUAGGUCAGUGAAAAGUGGAAUUCCGGGGCUCAACCUCGGACGUGCUUUUCAUACUGCCUGUCUUGAGUUCGUGAGAGGAAGGCGGAAUUCAGGGUGUAGCGGUGAAAUGCUUAGAUAUCCUGAGGAACACCGGUGGCGAAAGCGGUCUUCUGGCACGAUACUGACGCUGAGGCUCGAAAGCGUGGGGAGCGAACG